This 26153-nucleotide long non-coding RNA is filed under the name Eucalyptus grandis. RNAcentral's name for it is "long non-coding RNA (EGRA_LNC005630)". Lineage: Eukaryota; Viridiplantae; Streptophyta; Magnoliopsida; Myrtales; Myrtaceae. The record is from RNAcentral.
CUUUUGUAGUUCUCCUUCUCUGCUCUGAGUUCUGCUGUGCGUUCCUCUACAACUUACCCAAACCUCGAAGAGCAGUGAAACUAUGGCUACCGAACAUCCCCUUGCCUUUCUUCAAUCACGAGUGCUUCGUAUUCUCUUAGCCAUUUCAUUACUCGUGCUCCAAACAGUCGCUCUAGCUCAAGCACAAGCAGUAUCUCUCGAAGAAGCGACCGCACACGAUCUCCAACUUGCUUUCGGGCAAAACAAACUCACCUCGAGGCAGCUGACUAAGUUCUACCUCAACCGGAUUCGGAGGCUCAACCCGCUCCUCAGAGGUGUCAUAGAGGUGAACCCAGAUGCACUUUGCCAAGCCAAUAGAGCGGACCGAGAGCGUAAGGCGAAGCCAUAUGGCUCCCUAUCUGCCUUGCACGGGAUCCCCAUACUGCUCAAGGAUAAUAUAGCCACCAAAGACAAGAUGAACACCACGGCGGGCUCGUUCGCACUUCUUGGCUCUGUCAUGCCUCGUGAUGCUGGUGUGGUGGCUCGGCUGAGGAGGGCUGGGGCCGUGUUGCUGGGGAAGGCGAGCAUGAGCGAGUGGGCUCACUAUCGUUUUUCUGGUAAUAACAGUGGAUGGUGUGCCAGGAGCGGCCAGGGAAAGGUCAGCCAAACAACCGAUCCACUUUUCUAUUCUGGUCUAUCUUCGCAAGGUUUAACAAUUCAAAUGCUUUAGUGUGAGGCUAUUAAUUUAAUCGAACCUGCAUACUUAGCGUUGCAUUUUGUGAAAAAUAUUCGGAAAGCACAUGUGCCACAGGGAUAAAUCAUUUCAAGAAUAUGCUGGAAAUAUUAAAAACAUGCGCUAGAGAGUGCGCCAUGAUAUCUGCCUUUGAAGCACCUGAGCUGUUUGUCCUAGAAGAGGCAGAUUCCACAAAAUAAUAGAAGGAAAACCCCCUUUGAAUCUAUUUAUCUGAUGACUAAAGUUAAUGCAUAUGAACACAGAAUCCAUACAAUCUAUCAGCUACUACUUGUGGGUCAAGUAGUGGGUCGGCCAUAUCCGUGGCAGCGAAUAUGGGGGCGGUGUCAUUGGGAACAGAGACGGACGGCUCAAUCUUGUGUCCAUCCAGUUUUAACUCGUUGGUGGGCAUCAAACCCACCCUCGGCUUGACGAGCCGAGGUGGGGUUGUCCCCAUCACUCCCAGACAGGACACUGUUGGGUGAGUCGAGGUGAAAUACGUCCACACUCUUUAUACUCACGGAGAUUACUCCAGACGUAUUAAUCACUGUGUGUGGGAUCUUGCAGGCCAAUGUGUAGGACUGUCGCAGAUGCCGUCAAUGUCCUCGAUGUCAUUGUAGGAUUCGAUCCUUAUGAUGCUAAAGCCACUAGAGAAGCGUCCAAAUACAUCCCGAGAGAGGGCUACAAGCAAUUUCUCAAAGCCGAUGGGCUCAAAGGCAAGAGACUCGGAAUCGUGAAAGCUUUCUUCGACUUCUACUCAGGAACUCCGGUCACCAAAGCAUUUGAAAGCCAUUUUAACACCCUGAGGUAGUUAAUAGAGAUAUUAAUACCCAUUAGUUCCUCAAGUUUGGAAUGAAUUACUUUUGACAUAUAAUAUAUGCAUAUAUUCCUUUCUUGGACAGGAAACAAGGCGCAGUAUUGGUGGACCACUUGGAAUUAGCCUACAUCGAUUUCUUCUCUUACAGUAGUGAAAGAGUAGCGAUAUCAGCCGAGUUCAAGCUGGCCCUGAAUACUUACCUUCAAGAUUUGGUUGUCUCACCAGUCCGAUCCCUUGCAGAUGUAAUUGCCUUCAACAACAAGCACAAGCAUGUGGUGAGUUAGUACUAUCACAUAGCAAUUUAUAUCACCGUCUUCGUUCUAGUCGAAAUUAUGUAGAAUCACAUGAUGUUCGGGGAACAUGUAGCAGAAUCAAGCAGGAGGGCAGAGACCUCUCACUGGGAAGCGCUGAAUAAUUUCUCGUUUUUACACGAUCUGCAACUUACAAUACAGAUAACAUAGAACAAUGUGAAUUAAUUACGCUUAAGUACUCCAUUUUAGUUACAAAAAUGGCUGUUCUUGCAGGAAAAGAUCGAUGAGUAUGGUCAGGACUUGUUCGUCGAAGCGCAAGCCACAAAUGGGAUCGACAAGACUGUGAAAUCAGCAUGGCGAAACAUGACCAGAUGGAGCCGAGACGGGUUUGAGAAGCUGAUGAGACAGAACAAGUUGGACGCAUUGGUGACUCCUGAAAAUAUAGUGUCAACGGUUCUUGCGAUCGGGGGCUUCCCAGGAAUAAACGUUCCUGCUGGAUAUGACGAGGAUGGAGUGCCCUUUGGGAUUUGCUUCGGAGGCUUGAGAGGCUCUGAGCCUACACUCAUUGAAAUCGCUUAUGGGUUCGAGCAAGCCACCAAGAUCAGGAGGCCUCCUACGUUCCUGCGGUGACUCGCCUGUGAUUAUCGAGUCAAUGUAUUUGUAUCUCGGUCCGAGCUCCUGCACGUGCGGUAGCUUCUCUGUUAUUGGAUUAGAUCGAAGCGAUGAAGCAGCAAAGGAAUAAGCAGCCACGCUCAUAUCGACCGGCGGGGAAUGAAAGGUUUUAAAGAUUAAGAAGUGAGAUUGUCGAACAAUAAGGAUUUAUAUUGCGGUGUUCACUCAUUCCUAUUCUUUCAUCCAUACAUGCAACCAUCGAAGCCUUCAUCACAACUUCUCUGCCAAAACAAGAUGUGGAGCACGUCAAUUAAAAUAAUUCAAGUUAUGGGAACAUUGACAAUUAUGUGACGUGGACAUCGACAGCUAUGCAAUACGGUCAUUGACAACAACGCAAUACACAUGCAAUCAAAAGAGAAAAAAUUGUCCAAAAUAUUCUAAACUUAUUAUACUUUUGUCAAUUCAGUUCUAAACGUUUCAUUCUUGUCAGGUGAAUCCUAAACAUUUUCACUUUUUACCUAGUCCAAUAUGUCUUUUUUGGCUUGAAAUCGUUGACAUAGAUGCUGGCAGCAACCAUGUGAACGACCGGCGCUAAUGUGAACAAUUUUUAAUAUUUUAAUAUUUUUCGAUUUUUAGUUAUUUUUAUUUACUUUUUUUCCUCUUCUCUUUUUUUUUUUCUUUCUUUUCCCUCCAUCAAACCUUGUUGCCUACCUCAGACGAGGGGGGUAGCCGUCACUUGAGGCCAACAACCUCUUCCGGCCAUCAAUGAGGUUCAACGGUGGCUGGUAGAGGAAAAAGAAAAAAAUAAAAAAUAAAAUAUAAAUAAAAAAGGCAUUAGAAUUCGGAAAAAAAUAUUUUAAUAUUAUCUACGUCAGUAUCGGUCGUACCAUGUAUAAUGGUCAGUAUCCACUUCAACGAAUUCCAACCAAGAUUGGCCGAAUGGACUCAAUGGGCAAAAAGUGAAAAGAUUUAGGAUUCAAUUAGCAAAAUUGAAAUGUUUAUGACUGAAUUUAAAAAGUGCAUUACGUUUAGGAAUUUUUGGACAAUUUACCAAGUCGAAAGAUGUGCAGUAAGCAUCAUGACUCAUCAACGAAGCAUACGAAGUGUCACACCCCAAAUUCUAUAUGGAUGAGAGAGUAACAUAGUUGUCCUUUCUUCAAAGGACACAAUUGCAAAUUAUACCCUAAAUGUCUAGCUUCCAAUAGUUCCUAUGAUAAUGCUUUCGCUUUAUCAAUACUAACUAAAGCACUUGAAAAACAUGAUAAGAAGAAAGAAAUAAGCUACCACAGCUUAUUGAAUGAUACACUUUUUUCUAAGUAGAUUGAGCAAUUAUUAUGCACAUCUAAAACACAAACAUAACUCACUUUCACCAAACUCAAAAUUUAGCUAACCUUCAAGGCCAAAAUGCAAUAUUUAAAAUACUCAAGAUGAUAACAAAGCAAACACCAAUGGUCCAAUUCAUUGGUCAAUCUCAUAAUAACACACGCCAAUAGUCUAUUACAUUGGCCAAACUCAUGUUCAAGUAUCUAGCUAUAAUCACGCAUAACACUCGUAAUAAGACGACCAAAAUUUCCCCCUUAGUUAGGUUUCCAUCUAUUAAGUCGGUGGCUUGGCCAUAAGGAUAUCCUAGACCACUAUGAGUAUACAUAUCCACAUACCCCUCAAUGGGUUCACAAAGACAUGGAGCAUAAAUCAUCAAACUCAAUCUCUAGUAAUCCACAACCAAAAUUAGAAACCGUCUCAUAAUUUAGGUUUAAUAAUCAAAUCACAACUUUUCACCAUCAUAAUUCAAAUAUCAAUGAUCAAGUAUAUUGAUUAAUCUUUAUUAAAUCACAUUUUUAAAUAUUACAAUACGUUUCCCAAACUAUUUCAAACUCAAUUUCGUAAACCAAUCAAUUUCGUAAACCAAUUCACGAAUCAGUAUAUAACCUUUCAUAAAGCAUAGUUAAAAUCAAGAACUUAUUAUAAUUCUUUCCCAUAAGGUUUUGCAAAUUCUUUUGCAAGCAAUCCAUUUAGACUAGAAUCAAAUGAUAACAUUUUCACAUUCAAUGCGCAAAUAGUAGUAAAUACUUGAUCCAAUUUAUACAAAGAAUAUGCUCAUUGUUAACUCAUAACAUAACUAAUUAAUUUCACUUUCAAGAAAUGAGUUUACAAACUCAAAGAGAAAGAGUAUUACACACUUGAGAAAAGCCGAAAAUCAAUUUAUGGUGGUUACUCGAGCCUAAUACCAAUGUGGAGAUCUAUGCUUCGAAUUAGGGAAAACCAGGUCAGUUGUAGUAGGUAUGCCAUCGCACAAUGGAAUAAAAAAAAAAUUAAGUUCCAUCUUAUUGGCCAUCUAAUAUGGCAUCUUUUUCGCAGAUGGCCAAAUUUAAUCAGAAACAGAUUCCUCAUCUCUAGCUGCUUCGAUGGGUCGAAUGGUUGGUAUUCUUUUGAAACCAAACACAUUGUGGACAAAAAGAAAUGUGCUUACCGAUUUCCUCUCUAGACCAAAGGCAAUAGUAGAAAUCAACAUGUACAUUGUAAGGCAUCAUUUUCCCCAGUCAAAAAAGUAUAAAAUUGAAAGAAUACAAGACUGGCCAAGCCUGGAAUAUUCCCAGGAGAUUAUUGAACAAAUUUAGAAUGACAGCCUCACUAAAUAACUCGAUAGCCUCAUGUAGCAAUGUUACAUAGAUCUAUUUAGAUUUCAUGGAGGUUCAAUUCUUUAUCAUAUUAGGUUUGAACAUUUAUGUCCUAUUUGAAUUGAGAUGUAGAUACUAGCCCCUCCUUUUUCCUUGCUAUCCUAUACUGCAAGCUCUGCCCCAAGUUACUCUUCAACUUUACCCAAACCUCCAAGAGCAUUUAAACUAUGGCUACAGAACUUCCCCUUGCCUUUUACCAAUCACGAGGGCUCCUUAUUCUCAUAGCCACUGAAUUAGUGGAGCACCCAACUGCCGCUCUGGCUUGAACGCUCUCUCUCUCGAAGAAGCGAGCGCAUGCGAUCUCCAACUUGCUUUUAGGCAAAACAAGCUCACCUCGAGGCAGCUGACUAAGUUCUACCUCUACCGAAUUCGGAGGCUCAACCUGCUCCUCAGAGGGGUCAUUGAAGUUAACCUGGAUGCACUGCACCAAGCCAAUAGAGCGGAGCGAGAGCGUAAGGCGAAGCCAUAUGGCUUGCUCUCCAUCUUGCACUGGAUCCCUGUACUGCUCAAGGAUAACAUAGCCACCAAAGACAAGAUGAACACCAUGGCGGGCUCGUUCACGCUUCUCGGCUCGAUUGUGCCUUGGGAUGCUGGUGUGGUGGCUCGGCUGAGGAGCGCCGGAGCCGUGUUGCUGGGGAAGGCGAGCUUGAGCGAGUGGGCUCACUAUUGCUUUUCUGGUGGACAAUGGAUGGUGUGCCAAGAGCGGCCAGGGAAAGGUCAGCCAAACAACCGAUCCACUUUUCUAUUCUGGUCUAUCUUUGCAAGGUUUAACAAUUCAAAUGCUUUCGUGUGAGGCUAUUAAUUUAAGCGAACCUCCAUACUUAUUUGCAUUUCGUGAAAAGAUUCGAAUUGUGCUGGGCUUGAGCUGUUUGUCCUAGAAGAGGCAAGACUCGACAUAAUAAUAUAAGGAUUAAGGAAAGCCUCCGUUGGAUCUAUUUCCCUGACGCAUGACAUUAAUGAACAGAAUCCAUACAAUCUAUCAGCGGAUCCAUGUCGGGUCAAGCAGCGGGUCGGCCGUAUGCAUGGCAGCAAAUAUGGGGGCGGUGUCGCUAGGAACCGAGACGGACGGCUCAAUCUUGUGUCCCUCCAGUUCUAACUCAGUGGUGGGCAUCAAACCCACCGUUGGCUUGGCGAGCCGAAGUGCGGUCAUCCCGCUCACUCCCAGACAGAACACCGUUGGGGAAGUUGUGGCGAAAUACAGCGACACUCAUUUAUAUUCACAGAAAUUACUGCAAACAUGUAAACCGCUGCAUGUGGGAUCUCUCAGGCCAAUGUGUAGGGCUGUUGCAGAUGCCGUCAGUGUCCUCGAUGACAUCGUAGGAUUUGAUCCUUCCGAUGCUGAAGCUAUGAGAGAAGCAUCGAAGUACAUCCCGAGAGGGGCCUACGGGCAAUUUCUCAAACCCAACAGGCUCGAAGGCAAGAGACUUGGAAUCUUGAGAAGCCCUUACCACUUCCGCUCUGGAUCUCUGGUCACCAACGCAUUUGAGAGCCAUCUUAACAUCUUGAGGUAGUUGAGAGUGAUAUUAGUACCCAUGAGUUCCUUAAUAUGGAAUCAAUGAUGGGAUAAUGACAUAAAUGGUUCUUAAAUUUUAGCUAAAUGUUCAAUAUAGUCCUGAAUUUCUAAUUUAUUUAAUGUAAUCCCUCAACUCUAGCUUAAUGUGCAAUGUGGUCCUCAAACUUUUAAUUUGUUCAAUAUAGUCCUUGAACUACAUGGAAAAAUUCAAUAUUGUACUUCCAUUAAUUCAAGUUAAGAGAUAAUAUUGAAUAUAUACAUAGUUUAUGGACUAAAUCGAACAUGUACCAAAGUCUAGGGACCAUAUUGAACAAAUUAGAAGUUCAUGAACCACAUUACACAUUUGACCAAAGUUCAAUGAUUAUUUAUCUCAUUUUCCUAUCAAUCAUUAUAACAGAUAUUAUACGCAUAUAUUUUCAUUCCUUUAAUAAAUAGGAAACAAGGUGCAGUAUUGUUGGACCGCUUGGAACUGGCCAACAUCGAUGGAAUCUACUAUGAUUGGGGUGAGCGUGUGGUGAUAUCGGCCGAGUUCAAGCUAGACCUGAAUACUUACCUUCAAGAUUUGGUUGCCUCACCAGUCCGAUCCCUGGCAGAUGUAAUUGAAUUCAACAACAAGCACAAGCACGUGGUGAGUUAGACCUAUCGGAACUCAAUUCAUUUCACCAUCUUUUAAUCGAGAUACUAAAAUCACAGAAUGUUUGGGGAACAUGAAGCAGAAGCAAGCAAGAGGGCAGAGAUUCUUACUAGGGAUACGCUGAAUAAUCGCUCGUUUUUACACCAUCCGCAGCUUACAUGCAUAGAUAUCAUCGAACAUGGUGCAUAAAAUACGGGCAAGUAGUCCAUGUGAGCGGGGAGAUGCGAACCUUGCAGUUUUCCGAUCAACCAUGCUACCCUGUUUAACUCUUUUAAGUUUUAGUCACCAAACUGGCCGUACUUGCAGGAGAAGAAUGACGAGUUUGGCCAGGAUUUGUUCCUUGCAGUGCAAGCCAGGAAAGGGAUCGAUGGGGCCAUGAAAUCGAAUCAUGGACAGAUUGAGCCGAGACGGGUUUGAGAAGCUGAUGAGGCAGAACAAGUUGGAUGCAGUGGUGACUCCUCGUCAUCUAAUCAGGCGGGUUCUUGCGAUCGGAGGCUUCCCAGGAAUGAGCGUGCCUGCUGGAUAUGACGAGGAUGGAGUGCCCUUGGGAUUUGCUUCGGGGGCUUGGAAGGCUCUGAGCCCACGCUCAUUGAGAUCGCUUUCGGCUUUGAGCAAGCCACCAAGAUCAGGAGGCCGCCUUCGUUCAUGCAGGGAUCGCUAUGAUUUUCGAAUUAAUCAAAAUAUGUAUCUCAGUCCCCACUCUCGCGUGUGUAGUAGCUUCUCUGUUUGAAUUUAAUGUGAAUGUGAUGAAUUCUGCAAUUCAAGCAUGCACCGGAGGAUUGAGUCGGGGAUACAAGCAGUUCUCCUUCAAUGGAAAAUGUUUGCUGCGUCUUUAGCCACUGAAACUGAUGGUUCCAUCAUCUGCCAAAGUUCGCUCAUAUUUCAACUUUGAAAUCCUCUAUCGUCGCUGGAGAAAUCGCAGGCCGUGUAUCCAAAUCUCAGAGUUGGAUAAGCAAGAGUGUCUUGUCUAUACACUUGCGAUCUGAGAACACUUCGACAGAGGAUGAUUCUUCACUGCAGACUAACGUCGUAACAUAUAAUGGACUUAGGAUCUCGCAAUUAUCAUCGCGUUUGUUUUUUUAAUUCUUAGGAUAAAAUAUGUUUUUUAAUUGGAAAAUUAACUUUCAGAUUGGAGUUUAUUGAAUGUAAAUUCAACUACACCAAACGUGUAACAAUUGGGCCAAAGAAAAGAACGAAAAGCCUAAGCCCAUUUUAAUUUAAUAUAAGAGUGACAAAAUCAGCUCCUCCUUUCUGCGGGGAAGUCGUGAAAGAACAGAAGAAUUUUUGGUCGGGAAUUUCAUAUUAAUAUAUUAAUACAUUUCGUGGCGAUCUCGGUAUGUUAAGAUUGUAAAAUCAAAUUGUUAAGCGAGACAUAAUUUACUUUUCAUAGAUUGAAGUAAUAUGUGUGAAUUUCAUAAUCGCAGCUUGUGAACUUCUAAAUAAAAACAUAUGAUCUUACUUAAAAAUUUUGUGGAACUAGUAAAUAUGGUCAAUUUUAGUUAUAGUUUUCUUUGAAAUGAUAUGAUGCGAGGAAAGUCACUAAGUCAUUGAUCUAAGAAGCGAAAAGUUUAAGUGAUGAUCCUUUAAGUUGAGAAUAUGGGAUCCAUUGAAUUUAAUGGAAACCGGAUAAGUUCUUAUAUUGGUGAUCUAGGAAGUUAUGUGCAUUCAAUAUUAAGCGAUGAUCUUUUAAUUGGUGUAUUCUUUAUUGAGAACUGUGGUUUUAAGAUAAGUUCUUGUCCUAGAAAUCUCUUAUCUUUGAGAGAACGAUGGUAAAUUGACUUGGGAGACAAUUGAGAUUAGAAUGUGAAGAAGUGGAUCUUUAUCUCAGUGUAACGAGGGGAAUUAUAGUCGUUAUUUCAAUAUAGUGGUACUCUGGAUAUAUUAACGGUUAAUUAUUCUAGUAUGCUGGAUACAUUAGCUACAGAUGACCUAGGCAGGGACAGUGUAAAACAAGGCCCUUCUGCAAAUAUCCGGGGAAUGUCUCAAAAUAUGUUAUGUCUGCAUCCAUGUCCCAGUGACAAGUCAACCAAGUUUUGAUGAUUUUCAACAGUUACAAGGCACUUGUGCUUGUCUCACUUUUCCCAAUCCAUGAUGUGUCUGAGUAUCUUGCUUCUUUUCCCUUUCUUAUUGAAAGGGCACGCGUGUUUCACAUUUUGUUGCUUUUCUUACCUCCAUUAUUCAGCCAUAUUCUUGCAUCUUGACGUGCACGCAGAAGGAGGACCGUUGCCUUUGGCAGGAGGGUCUUGAGUAGUGUGACCGAACCAUGUCAUCAUUUAGCAACGCCCAUUGGGAAAGACACCAUUAGAAGUCGCAAGGUUUAUGCUGAUAACCAAUGAAUUCAUGCGGGUCACCAUAAUCACAGCCACCUCUUUCUUCGUGUAAGUUAGCUUUUUCCCUCCCUAAAUGAGGAAUGACAUAUCCCCUCCUAAUUCUGAUGAGCGGAUCUCGGUUUUUUCCUUUUUAUCCUUAAUUAAGUUCGUUCUGCUGGUGUUUACACUAAAAAAUAGCCGACUCUUUGUCUAUGACAAACAAUGGAAUUUUGAUCGAUAUUGUGAGGUAGGUUAAUGAAAAUAAUUCAAGUUAUGGAAACAUUGACAAUUAUGCAACGUCGACAUCGAUGGCCAAGCAAUAUACAAGACAUCGAAAGAUGUGCAGCAAUCAUCAUGACUCAUCGACAUAGCAUAUAAAGAGUUAGCUAUAUUAAAAUUUGACCAAGUGUUGGGGGCAAAAGAGGAGAACGCAUAGAUCUGGAUGUCGAAGAGAAGCAAAAAUACCGAGUGACGGUUAAGCAUCCAAUGAUGUUGGAAGAUGUAACUUCUUGUCGAUGACAAUUGCCAACAUACAAAUAGCAUGCCGGAAACUUCGGGCAUUUGCACUUGUAAUUGCACUUAGAGUGAUAACCCCUGUUGUAAUUGUCAUAGUGGGCUAUAGAUAUAUAUGUCUUUCAUUGUGAAAAAAACAUCAUUACAGAUGCCGAUUUCUAAUAUAUCUAUUGAAUGUGUUAAUUUCUAGUCUUUCAUUUCCAGAGUUUAUCAUUUACUUUUAGUAAUUUUAUUGUCCUUCUAUUUCAUUUUUAGCUUUAAAAACGCUAUACACUUUCUUAUUCAAAAUUGCCACAAAACCCAUUUCCAUAAAAACCAAGAAUCCAACUUUUUCAAGAAGGAUCUUUCAUCAUUUGGAUAACCAUCCCAAUUUCGAUGAAACGGCUGGAUGCAUCUGAUUGAUAUAAGCAAAAAAUCAGAUCACAACAGGAAAAUCCAAGUCUUCACCAACACUGCCUUUAGCCAUGCCAAAGCAAAUCGAAAGCAACUUCAUUCAACGCUAGCUCACUCUUCUUCCAUCUCCUUAAAUGAACAGAGGGGUCUCCUAUUUAUAGAGGGAAUGGGAGCAGCCUUUGAUUCUCAUGAUUGCUCCUAAUUAGUCAAAAUAGAAGAUCGUAUGUCCGAAAUCGGUAUUCUAAUCAACAUAUGGUAUAAACAUAUACUAAAUCAUUUUUGAAUUUGGUCGGUAUUGAUGAAUGCUAAUGUGAUUUAGCUCAUCCAAUUGACUAACUUCUUCACUCAAGUUUCAUAGUUUCAUCACAAAUACAUUUCCUAAUUUGGUUGGACGGUUACACUUGCAAACAAACAAGGAUGAGAACCCAAAUAUCGAUGCAGAAUUAUAUAUUAGACUUAGAGAUUCUGCUGUCUAUAAGUACAUUGAAAAGCUACAUUAUAAAUAAGCCAUGUGAGUGAGGAAUAUAAUUUAAAGUACUUUCUUUGGUGCAUUUAAAAAACUACAUAGAAAAAACUGUGGUUUUGGGUGGACCGACUGAUGCUAUCAAGGGCACUCGAUACAAUGAUCACAGUCCUGUUGAGUAUUGUCUAUGUUGCAUUUUGUUUCCGUACUUGAUGCAUUAUUGAAAAGGAAAGAGAAUAUGCUCCUUUAAUAUAAAAAUCUUUUGUUGCACUCAUUUAUCUUAAAGAUGAGGAACCAAAUUGAGUCAAACUAUAGGGAUUCGUACCAUUCAUAGUAGGGGUUAUCAGGUCUAGGAUGGAUAGGUUACCCGACCCUGUUAUAACCGGUUCCCCUUUUCUAGACCAUGAACCCAAUCCUGUUUGCACUGAACCCUAUUUUGGAACCAUCCUAUUUUUCCGAUCUGAUUCCAAGGUUAAUCCUGUUUCCACUUAAACCUAUUUUGCAACCGCCCAAUAUUCUAUACAACUUCGAAUUUUACAUUAAUACGCGAAAAAAUAGCAUAAUCCUCUUAAUUUGUGUUGAAACAUUAAGCACAUAUAAUCAAUAACUACAUAAAUUUUUGACUUAAUAAGGAAGAGGAAUGAGGAAGGAGGAGCACCAUGUGAGAGGGAAAACGCAAUUCUAAGAUUAGAAAUCAAGGAAAACAAAGAUAGGGAUUUGGAACUUUGGGCUUACAAAACUGGUUCCCAGACAAACUCGGUCGAUCACCUUCCCAAGUGGGUAUUCAUUCGGAACCGGUUCCCAGACUGAUUUCAAUGGGAAUCGGUUUCGGAUCCUGUUUUCCGGAUGGACUAGUCCAAUUUCCUAGUAUAUUCGGUCUAGUUGCACACCCCUAAUUCAUAUGGAAUAAUGUCCUAAUUUCAUCAAAUUUUUGUCACGUGAUGCAUUUGUCAUACCUCAACUCCAACAAGUAUAGAGAAAUGACAUGGCCUUCUAUCAAACGUGACACAUUGUCUCCUCGUUUUUUAUGUUAUUUUCUUCCUUUCUUUUUCAAGCCAAUCCUUUUUUAUUAGUCAACUUACUUCUUCUUUUUUUACACCAAUGGUUACAAUGUCACUCUCUUAAGUGUGAACAUUUGAGAUCCCGCACCUCGCUUUCUCUUUCAUUUGUAUUUGCAUCUUUUGUUUUGUCUUCUUACCUCUUGCAGAGCGCAGGACUCGAACCGGACGGCUUCCCUCCCCACCCCCUCAAAGCCCAUGUCACUGGGCACAUUACUCGUCUUUAUCCUACUACUUGUAGAGCGCAAGAUUCGAACGGUGAUAAUUAAACCCCGCUAAAAAAAAAAAAAUGCCACUACCCACGUGGCCUAAUGGUAUGUGCUUGAUUAAAUUCUAUUUGAAUUGAGGAAUGGAAACUUGCCCCUUGUGUUGUUCUCCUACUCUUCUGUGAGUUAAACCCUGACUUUCUCUGACAACUUACCCAAACCCCAAAGAGCAGCGAAACUAUGGCUACCGAACCUCCACUUGCCUUCUCUCAAUCACGAGUGCUUCUUAUUCUCUUAGCCAUGGCAUUAGUCAUGUUCCGAACAGUCACUUUGAAUAGUCCCUCUCGAAGGUAAAAAUUUAUAUUUUUGUUAAUUCAAUCCUAAAUUUUUAAAUUUUUUCAAUUUAAUCAUGAACAUUUUCACUUUUUGUCAAUUCAGUCAUAAAUUUUUUACUUUCGAAAUAUAUUGGAUUUCAAAUGUUCACACCUAAGAGAGUGAUAGUAUAACCAUUGGUCAAAAAUGGAAAAAAGGUGAGUUGACUGGUAAAAAAGGAGGGGCUUGAAAAGGAAAGGAAGAAAAAACAUGAAAAAAGGAGGAGACGGGUACAAUACGUGUACCAUGUCUGCAAUGUGCGAUAAGUGAGGACAAUCUCUAUUUUCUAAAUGAAGUAAAAAAAUUCAUCUGAUUUUUUCUUUAGUGAUCAAAAGACAAAUGGAGAGCUCAUAUGGUGUGAUAUCCCAUUGAAUAGCACCAAUUUCAAUUUUCUUUGAAUGCAAUUGAAGAGGCUUAAUGACUUGAUUUUAAAAAGAAUUGUACCGUAUUUGGUUCUUCACUUGAGCACAAUUUGAGGGCCUUAGUGGCUUGAUCUCGAAUCAGAUAGCACAAUCUGUGAUUUUUAUUUACGAACUGCAUUCAAGGACUUGAAGACUUGAUCUCAAAUCAGAUAGCGCAAUCUUUGAUUCAUUUUUAUGAACUGCAUUCAAGGAUUUGAAGGCUUGAUCUUAAAAUAUAAAAUGAUCGAGGUUUUGGUGAUCCGAAUAUCAGUGAGGUGUUAAUGACUUGUGUUUUGAAAUCUUGUAUGACCAAAAUUUGAAUGGAGAUCUUGAUGACCAAAAUUCGAUAGGUUUUGUGAAGUUCUUUAAUUUCCAAGAACUUCAUGAUAGCAAUUCCAUGGAAUUUAAAUUCGUCGUCCGUUUGCAUUUUGAGAAAUAUACUCGGAAAGUGCCGGGCUUUCUGGCACAUGUGCCUCAGGGUAACAUCACUGGCCAUUACAAGAAUCUUUGGGAAAUAGCUGCUCAAGAAGCACUCGGGCUGUUUGUCUAUGAAGAGGCAGAUUUAUAUUAUGCAUAUCGUUAAUGCAUACGAGCACAGAAUCCAUACAAUCUAUUAGCGCUAGCGGAUCCAUGUGAGUCAAGUAGUGGGUCGGCCGUAUCCGUGGCAGCGAAUAUGGCGGCGGUGUUGCUGGGAACAGAGACGGACGGCUCAAUUUUGUCUCUCUCCAGUUCUAACUCUGUGGUGGAAAUCAAACCCACCCUUGGCUUGCCAGGUGGAGGUGGGGUUGUCCCCGUCGCUCCCAAACAAGACAGUAUAGGGUAAAUCGUCGUGAAAAACUGCGACACUCUUUAUAUUCACGUAAAUUACUCCAAAAAUGUGAACCAUGUAUGUUGGAUCUAUUAGGCCAAUGAGCAGGAUUGUUGCACGUACCAUCAAUGUCCUUGAUGUCACUAUAGGAUUCGAUCCUCGAUGCUAAAAUCACGAGAGAAGCAUCAAAAUACAUCCCGAGAUGGGGCUACAAGCGAUCUCUCAAAGUGGACGGGCUCAAAGGCCAGAGAAUUGGAAUCAUUAGGAACCCUUACUUUGACACCCUCUCAGGAUCUCUGGUCCCCAAAGCAUUUGAGAACCUUUUUAACACCCUGAUGUUUUAUAUUGAUAUUAAUACCCAUUAGUUCCUCAAGUUUGGAAUGAAUUAAAUGUUCGGCAGUGGGCUAUGGAAGACUCAAGAUGUCUAUAACUAGUAUAUAGUUAUAAGGUACAAUUUCAUAUUAUUUACUAUAUGAUUCAACUGUUCCGUUACGCAUUAUCGUUAACAUCUAUUUCUCAAGAAUAUUCUACAUAUAAUUGUUGCAAUGUAAACAAGCUCCAGUUAACUAAUGUGGCAAUCAUAUUUUUUUACAAGAAUCUUUUGGGAAUAUUAAAAAUCAUGCGCUAGUGAGGGCCCCAUGACAGGUGCUUAUGAAGCAUUUGAUCUGUCUGUAAUAGAAGAGGCGGAUUCGACAUAAUAAUGUAAGGAAAGCCUCCUUUGGAUCUAUUUACCUGAUCCUUAACAUUACUACAUAUGAACAGAAUCCAUACAAUUUAUCAGAGGAUCCUUGUGGGUCAAGUAGCGGGUCGGCCACAUCCGUGGCAGCGAAUAUGGGGGCGGUUUUGCUGGGAACAGAGACGGACAGCUCAAUCUUGUGUCCCUCCAGUUCUAACUCGGUGGUGGGCAUCAAACCCACCCUUGGCUUGACGAGCCGAGGUGAGGUUAUCCCCAUCACUCCUAGAGAGGACACUUCGGGUGAGUCGUGGUGAAACACAUUGACUUUUUAUACUUAUGCAAAUGACCCCAAACAUAUUAACAACUGUACGUGGGAUCUCUCAGGCCAAUGUGCAGGAUUGUUGCAGACGCGGUCGAUGCCUCGAUGUCAUUGUAGGAUUCGAUCCUUAUGAUGCUAAAGCCACCACAGAAGCAUCGAAGUACAUUCCCAGAGGAGGCUACAAGCGAUUUCUCAAAGCCGACGGGCUCAAAGGCAAGAGACUUGGAAUUGUUAACCUUUACUUCGACUUCUACUCAGGAACUCCGGUCGGCAAAGCAUUUGAAAGCCAUUUUAACACCCUGAGGUAGUAAAUAGUGAUAUUAAUGCCCAUUAGUUCCUCAAGUUUGGAACGAAUUACUUUGACAUAAAAUGUAUGCAUAUAUUUUCGUUCCUUUCUUGGACAGGAAACAAGGUGCAGUAUUGGUGGACCAUUUGGAUAUAGCCAACAUCAAUGAAAUCUACCCUAAUGCGAGUGGUGAAGAAGUAGCUAGUGCGGCCGAGUUCAAGCUAGCCCUGAAUACUUACCUUUGAGAUUUGGUCGUCUCGCCAGUCCGAUCCCUCGCGGAUGUAAUUGCCUUCAAUAACAAGCACAAGCACGUGGUGAGUUAGAACUAUCGCAUAGCAAUUUAUUUCACCAUCUUUUAAUCGACUCAAAAUUAUGUAGUCACAAAAUGUUCAGGGAACAUAUAGCAAAAUCAAGCAAGAGGGCAGAGAUCCUGUGAUGGCGCGGUGCGCAGGGAGAAGAGAUGGCGGUGCAUCCACGCCUCGGUCCCCGAACGUGCAUAGAGAGAGGGCAUAUCUCUUGUCCCAUAUCGCCUAGGGAGAGAGUCUUGAGCUACCUUAUAAGACAAUGGGCCUUUUAAAUGUAUACAUGCGUUUUCUUGGAAUAGUAUAAACUCUUCUGAGAAGAACAAAACCGUGAAGACGUCUACAUGUACAGUGGAGACUCAGCCUGUGGCCACCCAGGCGGCGGUGCGCGAGAAGGAGGGAUGGUCCCAACCGCCAGACGUGCGCAAGGAGGGGCGCGUCUUUUUUCCCACAUCGUCUAGGGAGGGAGUUUUGGGCUACCUUAUAAGAUAAUGGGCCAUCUAAUUGUAUACAUGCGUUUUUUUGGGAUAAUAUGAGCUGUUCUGAAAAAAACAAAACACUGUGAACUUAGUAUCCAAAGCAGACAAUAAGUGUACAGUGGAGAUGAGCUAUCCUGAAAAAAAACAAAACACUGAGAACUUAAUAUCCAAAGCAGAUAAUAAGUGUACGGUGGAGAUCCGGGCUGUUAUAGAUGAAUGUUUUCCAAUCAUGAUCAAUUUACCCUACCCUGUUUAACUCUAGGUUUUAGUCACCAAAAUGGCUGUUCUUGCAGGAAAAGAUCGACCAGUACGGCCAGAACUUGUUCCUCACAGCGCAAGCCACAUGGACAGAUUAAGCCGAGACGGGUUUGAGAAGCUUAUGAGGCAGAACAAGUUGGAUGCAUUUGUGACUCCUCUUGCGAUCGGAGGCUUCCCAGGAAUAAGCGUGCCUGCUGGGUACGACGAGAAAGGAGUGCCCUUCGGGAUUUGCUUCGGAGGCUUGAGAGGCUUUGAGCCUGCCCUCAUUGAAAUCGCUUACGGGUUCGAACAAGCCACCAAGAUCAGGAGGCCUCCUUCGUUCAUGCAGCGACCGCGAAGAUUUUUCAGUUAAUAUACCUGUAUCUCGGUCCGGAGUAUUGCGUGAGUGGUGCUUCUCUAUUACUGGAUUAGAUCCAAAAGUGAUGAAGGAACGAAGAAAUAAGCAGUCAGAUUCAUGCCGGCUGGCAGGGAAUAAAAAUUUCAAAGAUUAAGAGGCGAGACUGUCAAUCAAUAGCGAUUUAGAAUUUGGUACUUCUGGUGACAUGGCUGCAAGUUAACUUGGCUAUGUAUAGGGAGAGCAUUCAAUCCAAGGCAAAAGUACAAGGAUAAGAACGAGCGUCGAAAGUACAAAUCGGGUGAUGAAACAUGAUAAGUGCUGCUUGCAGCAAUACCGAUGAAAUGACUUGAAUCCAAAUCAGAGUGGCGUAAUGACUAUUGGUAGCUGGGAUCAAGCAUAGCCUGAAUGAAUACUGUUAGCAAUAGUGAUGGGGAGUGUCAGAUUAUUUCUGUCCUAAAUGAACUUUGUCUUCAUCCAUAUUUUGAAAUUAUCAUAUCAAAUGAAUGCGUUGCUUACCUAUAAUUUUUCUUGAUGCACUUAAACUAAUAAUUUGAAUAAAUUAAAGGCUUAUUUUCAAAUGAAUGCGUUGCUUACCUAUAAUUUUUCUUGAUGCACUUAAACUAAUAAUUUGAAUAAAUUAAAGGCUUAUUUUUGACAUUUUAAAUUAAAGGGAGAAGUACACUAUCAGUGCCAUAACUUAUGUACGACGCUCACUUUAAUGUCAAAAGUUUCAGUCGGAUUACUUAAGUGUCAAAAAUUUUGAAAAAUGCUCAUUUCAAUGCCAACGCCGAUCAGGUUGGUCGGAAAUCCAAUGUGACAGUUUUUUUAUUAAUAUUUGAAGCCGACGUGGAUCGCCGGAGAAUAUAAUCAGCAUGGAAAUAACAAAACGACACUGUUUAGCAUCUUUUCUCCCAAAUAAGAAACCAUAAAUCCCCAAAUUCGAGCAGAAUCGGAAAUUGAAAACCUUAAAUCCCCAAUUCAACCAAGUUGAGUGCAUAUUUCGAUUUUCUCCCAAAGUUAUUAGCUCGCUUUUGCAAAUGAAGGGCAGAAGCUUCAGCAGUGGCUCACAUUCCUAUAAAAAAAAAGUGAAUUAGAUGGUGAGUGUUACUAUUAUUGUGGGUUACCGAGUCCAAGAAGAACAUCUUGGACUCGGUUGAAUCCCGGGAGAAGAUUCCAUGGGUGCGGUAGAUAUAGAGAAGGCUUGAAGUCCAAAUAUUUCAAAUGGGUUGAUAGUAAAUUCUCUGAUCGAGCAACAGAGGUAAUCCUGGAGUUAUUUGAAGGCCGAAAUCAACCUCCACCUGCAUUAAUGGACGAGUUGGAGGAUGUCGACUCAAUGUAAGCUCAAAUGAAGGGUUUAACAUCUCUGGUCGACCAUUUGAAGAAGGAUGUUUCAAGGCUAAAAAUCAAAAGAAACUUUUAUCGAGUGUUGAUUGUGUUCUUAUUUUCUUGGGUAGUUUAUUCAAAUGUGAAGUGAGUAAUGAGAAAAAGUUUGUAUGUCUACCAUAGUCGAAAACAUGGAAUAUGCACUUGUAUUAGAUUAUUUAUAAGUAAGAUGCGUUUUUGGUUUGUUGCAAUUUUUGUAUGAAGCAGAAUGUUUUGUUGUAAUUUAUAGUAGAAAUGCAAGGUUGGAGUUGGAAUGCAUUAGUUGUGAGCACUUAAAAGUUUUAUUAUUUAAUUGUGUAUUGUCAAUGUUUGUUUUGAUUAGUUUUUACUUCAGAUAUAAUGGUUUGCUUACUGCAUUUUUUAUUUGGUAAUGGUUUGCUGGUUUGCUGCAAUUGCAAACCACGGCAAAAUGAAAAGGUUGGAGUUAGAAUGCAUUAGUUCUGACCACUUAAAAGUUUUAUUGUUUAGUUGUGUAUUGUCAAUAUUUGUUUUGGUUAGUUUUUACUUUAAAUAGAAUGGUUGCUGCAUUUUUAUUAUUGUAAUGGUUUGCUGGUUUGCUAGUUUGCUGUAACUGCAAAUCAUGGCGAAAUUAAGAGAUGGUGGCAAAUUCAUGAUUGACCAUUUCGGUGUCAAAAGUUGUAAAUAGUGAUCGCUUGAGUGCCAAGUUUUUAUAAAAGUGAUCAUUUAAGUGUUAAUCGCGAUUACAAAGUGAUCAGUUCUGUUGCACAAGUUGUAAAUAGUGAUCACUUGAGUGCCAAGUUUCAAACUUGCACCAGUUGUGGUACAUCUUGCAUCUUGUUGCACUAGGGCAUCUUGUUCUUGCACCAGUUGGGUUGCUGGUGCAUCUUCUUGCACUAGCCCAUACAAGUGUUGAUGCAACAAGAUGUAUCAGCACCUAAAAUUGCAUCUUGUUCUUGCACCAGCACAUACAACUAGAACCCCAUAAAUAGCAGCCACAACUUCAACUAGUAAUACUAUAUGCACACAUCUAAAUUUAAAAAUAAUAUCAACUUCAUAAGAACAUUGUACCAAUAGCAAAAAAAUAUACAGUAUAACUGAUAACUAUCUUGCUAUCAUUACUAGCCGAAACCAAGCUAAAAGAAAAUAAUAGAAAUAGUUAUUGUCAUUGACAUUGAUUAAUUGUUUACAAAAGAAAAGAAAAACAUGUUUAACUUCACUCCCUAAUCACUGAAGGUUCAGCACCUUCUUUAAAAAAAAAAAAAAACAAUGGCAAUAUGCAGUUAGCAACUAUCAUCAAUGAUAUAAUAUUCAUCACCCUCCUAAAAAAAGAAAAAAUAAAAAGAGAGACCAUGUCCACAACACCACAUAAAAAGAGACCAUGUCCAGCACUCUCCCAUAAGCCAAUUUGGACAACACCCCGAUCUCCUUUUCGAUUUGGAGUUUUGAAUUGAUUCAUAAUCCGAGCACUCUUUCGAACUGUAUGUGCAGUUUCUUUAACUAGGGUUUCUGUCACCUUUUUUCCCUUGUUCUUGACAACUGCUAUUUUUGUUCUAGCACGUGUCAUGUAUUGGUCCAUAUCAUUACUAUUGCUCCCAAUUGUUGGUUGAGAUGGAACUGGUGUUGGGUUCUUUUUGGAUGGCUGUUUUGCAGCUAUACCCGCUGUCUUCUUCUUUGGAGCACUCUUUUUUGGCUGCGCUAUUAAUUCUUGAGUUGGCCCACCUUGAGAGAGAAGUACCUCCGAAAUUCUCCUAGGUUACAAGAACAUAAUGAUAUUGUCAACCAAAUGAAUUGAAGUACAACAAAUUAAAUGUAUGAGGCUUACAAAUUUUUCAUUCAAAAUAGUCAUUCCAGUAUGUUCAUCUGUGUAAAUCCCAUAACCAUAUUGCCUUAAUAUUUUUCCAAGAGCCCCUCUUGUUCGCCGUGGUGCAUCAUUUUCAGUAGUAAUUGGGGGAGCAACCUCUGCAACUUGUGCAGUUGGUCGUCUUCUCACUUAAGAAACACAUAACAAAUUUAAAUUUCAACCCAUAAAGACAAACAUAGUGAUGUACAACUUAUAGGAUAUUUUUUUCUCGUUUGCUCAACAAUGGACUCAGUUGUUGUUGUUGUUGUCUUGCCCGUUCCAGUCCCUGUUCCUGCACUUGAGCCUACAACAGGGCCUGUUUUUGACCCUUUAGUAGGCCUUACAAUAAUAUACUGUAUCAGGAUUAUGACCAACUACAAUGAUUUGAAUAAUUAAAUAUCUACUCAUUUUCAUGGUGGGAAACAAACGGAGAAAACUUCUCAAAUUACAAGUGCAUGACAGAGAAAAAGCACAAGAGAAGCCAGUACACCUGGUUUACCAUCAAACUCUAUCGAAUAUGAAUUGAAAAGUUACUGAGGUAAAGAGGAAACUUACCUUACAGCAGGGCUUUCUAUUUGCCCUUCAGUAGGCAUUACAGCAGGGCCUUCUGUCCUCUCUUCAAUAGGCCUAAGAAGAAGCUCUUCAGUAGGUUCUGUCCUUGGCAUUAAAUCAGCUUGCUGUUGAUGCUGCUUUUUCAGCUCACAACCUUUCUUAUUAUGCCAUUCCUUAGGGCAAUAGGAGCAUUUUAUCUUUGCCCUAGUCCUACUCAUCAUUUGACUUGAUGCCUCUUCCUACUGAAUUCUUUGUCUCCUCUUUGGCAUUCCUAUUUGCUUCUUUAAUGGCAAAGGUAGAGAGCUUUCAUGAUUUGUUGGCUCCCAAAAUUUGCCGCUUUUGAUAAGCUGCAUCAUGAAUUGAUAUGAAGCAAGGUAUGAGUUUUUUUUUUUGUAUCGAUCAUCUAAGUAAUCAUUUGGGUUUUCUUACUUCAUCUGAAUAGCACAAAUGGCAUGGGCAUAGGGAAUUCCAUUCAGUUGUCAGGCUCGGCGUGAACAUUUUCUUCUAUCCAAGUUGACAACAUAUUUAUCCUGAUUUUGAAUAAUCUCAUAUCAAUUAUCUCCAUUCUAAACUGGAUGACAGAACCUAUUAGCAGCAAUGUUUGCAUCUAAUCUCUUCACAAUCCUAGGGCCAUAAUCUCUAGUCCAUUUCGUAGCCUCAUCUCUUUGCCUAUGCAGUCUAGUCAUCACCAUAACUCGAAUAUCAUCAAGUAUGCUGAUGAUUGGUUUGCACCUAGCCUCUAAAAUUCUGCCAUUAAAAGCUCCACUAAGGUUGUUAUCAAUGAUAUCGCAUUUGAACUCUUCGCUGAAGAAGGCCCGACAACAGUGCUUAGCUUAUGUCUGGAAGAGUGCAUCAAAACCUUCAUUUGUCAGUUGUAACAAUCCUUGUUUAGCUAAUCUGAAAUUAGCCAUGUUGGUACUCUUUGCUAUCUGCCGGAACUGCUUCUGUAGCCUAUCUCCUUUGAAGUUCCUUGACCAGUUUACAUAUAUAUGCCUCGCGCACAUUUUAUGCUCAGCAUGUGGCAUCAACUCAACCAAUGUAGGAAUAAGUCCCUACAAAAAUUCAAACCAACAAAUACAAGUCAGGGAAAAUAUGUAAGUGAUUAAUAUUAAAAGGGAGUGAAUUAAUUAACAAUGAAAUUACCUUCUGUUGGUUGCUCAUGAAUGCCCAUCCUCCCCAUCGGUUAUCUCAAGGUCAGCCAUUAAAUUUUUUAGGAAUCGGAACCAAAUAUCCUUGUUCUCUAUCUUCACCACCACCCAAGCUAUCGGAAACAUUUGAUUAUUGGCAUCUCUCCCCACAGCAGCCAACAACUCCCCCUUGCAUAAACUCUUUAAAAAGCAUCCAUCUAAUCAUAUAACUCUUCUACAACCAGCUAAGAAGCCUCGUUUGCAUGCAUCAAAACAGACAUAAAAUUUAUCAAAUCUAGGCCCAAUAUCAGGAAGUGGUCUCUCCACAACCUUUAUAUAUACCCUACUAGAUGGGUUUUGAAACAUGCAUUUGCCAACAUAAUCUCAUAUCUGUGCAUAUUCUUCCUUAUACCCACCCAUCAAUAUUUUCAUCACUCGCAUCUUAGCUCUCUUGUAUUGAUUCAUUGACACAUUAACCCCUACUUGCUCAUUCACUAACUGUUGAAAUUGAGGACUCUUGAUUUCUGAUAUUGCUUUGAUAGUAUUGAAAAAAUGUUUUGAUAGCCGCAUACUUGUUAGCCUUUUAUUAUUAAAGAUAAUUGGAUAAGUAUAUUCCUCCUAGAAUGACCUAAUAUGGAAUGACCCCUUCUUACUCAGCGCGCCAUAGAGCUUCCAUGAACAAUUGGGUUGUGAGUACUUAACUCUUACAAAUUCCUUCGUGUUUCUAAUGAAUUGAACACUCCUCUGUUCACCAAUGGAGUUCUUCACAACAGCUUCCUUGAACUGUUUGGUAUCGUCAAAUCUCAUGUCCGCAGACAAAACAUGUUUAUCAAUAGUCGGAUCAUAGCAAUGGUACUUACUUUUUCUUCUACGAGCAGGUUCUUCAUCAUCAUUGUCAAGUUCAUUCUCUGAACCAGCAAUUUCAUCGCCGCAGCUUUCUUCAUCUUCACUUUUAUGACCUUCAGCUGGAGCUCCAUCCCUAUUUACUAGCUCGGGCCUUUUUGCUAAAGCUACAAGUUUUUUCCUCAGAAAUUCCCUUUGCUUUUGUCUUGACUGUGCAAGUUCAUCAUCAUCUUCGUCACUUGAUAAAUUUACUAAAGCCAAAUAUUCAUCUUCCGAUUCACAAGAUAAAGCAAUUUCCCAUUCUAAUCCAAUGAAGUCUUCAUUGCCCACAUCUUCACCCAAGAUUUCAGGACAUCUCCCUAUUUAUUCAUCUCUAUCAAUAUGACUUCUCUCCCUCUCAUUUUGCCUUUCGUCUAACAUAAACUCAUCCCCGACCUGAUUACUUGCUUGAAUAGGAUCCCUCACUUCUUUAGUAGUGGUCUGCUCAUCCUCAUCCUCAUCCUCAUCCUCACCAUCACUAUAAUACUCAACAUAUACCUUAGCUUCUUUGCCGUGAAGAUAAUGGUAAAUGAUAUUCUUAAUACCAUUAUCGUCAUUAAAAAAUCUCAAACCAUCAUUCAAUUCCUUCACAGGAACACAGUAAUGUAGAUUUUGCAUUUUGCAUUGUAAAAAAUACACCAAAUCCCUUAGAAAAUCAAUAUAUAAUGGCUUCCGAACAUUGACAUAGAUAGUACAUUCAUUUCCACCAGUAUAUUCCCAAUACUCGGUGCUAAUAAGAAACUCUCCACCAUAGCAAACAAUGAUGCCUACCUGAUUCGCGUCCAUGUCGAUGCUACACCCAAUGAAAAUAAAAAAAAAAAGUUAUUACUUGUUGGGACCACAUGACAGAAUCAACAACUUCACAUGUAGGUCAUUGUCAUUUUGUUGUCAAGAAACAAAUGCGACUAAUCUCCCUAAUUCAGUCCCCCACUGUUUCCCCCACAGAAGCAGUCCAAUUAAUUAAACAAAUUCAGUCCCACCACUGUUUCCCUUCGAGUUGAGCCCAAUUUUCCCUUUCGCGCCCUAUUUUUCUAUUUGGUCCCCACAAAAGAAAGCGAACGAACGACGGAACUCUCAAUUUUUCUGUUCGGUCCCCACCACUUUCCCCCUGAGCCGAGCCCUCAAUUUGCCCUCCACGCCCUAACUUGCCCGUCGGAACCCUAAAUUUUUCACUAAAUUGACCCAUGUAGAGAACAUGACAAACCUGAGUGAGCGAGAGUUGGGGACGUAGCCAGCGAAUGAACGUGAAUGACGGCGCAACUACAGCAGUGGCCGAGUGACGAUGGGCGAGCAAACGACAUUGGGUGAGCGAGCUACGGCCAGUGGUGUUGAGCAAGAAUCAUAUACGAACACCAUUUUUGGCCGUAGUGAAUCCACUCCUCUAUUUUACAAAACGACGAUCAUUUUGUAAGUGAUCCACGUGGAAUGGUAAAACAACGUCAUUUCUUAUGAAGAAAGGAAAACAGCGUUGUUUUAUGCCAUCCAUCGUGGACAGUCUUAAGAAUUGUUGAUUUUUUAUUUUAAAUAUAAAAGCCAAGUAAUCAUUUUGGCCGGAAUCUCUCGCCGGUGGCACCAAAGUAAUCGUUUUUUCUCCGAUUUGGCACUUAAGUGAUCUGACGGAAAAUUUUGGCACUAAAGUAAGCGCCGUACACAAGUUAUGACACUGAUAGUAUACUUCUCCCUAAAUUAAAUGAUGCUUGAGUUCACUGAGUUCUUACAUGAGAGAGAAAAUUUUCGCUUGAUCUAAUUUUCUGUACAUUUGUUUGGUGUAUUCUCACAUGCUCUUUGAGUCCUCCAUUGGUGGGAGACCAGCUGUGACUUUUGGUGGUAUGUAGUUACCAAUCCAUGUUCGAAUGAGUUGAUUACACUUUCUCCAGUGUUGGACCAAGUGCUCAUCGAAGGGCAUCUGGACAUCUUCACCUAGAAAACCGUCUUUGUCCUUCAUCAUGAGGGCCCGCCAAAAGUCUUGCAACCACUUGGAAUAGUUUUCUGGCCCGGUUAGGUGCAAACUAAUGAGUCGCAAUUUUGGUCAUUUGGCGGUCAACACGUAUAGGGGGUCACUAGGCUUCGAACGGCCACGAUUGGAAAAGGCAAAAAACCGGGCACAAAACUCGGGUAGGAAUUUGUCCCCAUACCCGAAUUGCAUGACUCAGCUACAUGACCCGAAUUGAAAAAUUUCGAGCAAGUGUUUGUUCCCAUACCCAGUUUGCCUGACUUUCUCGUCUACUCCGCGUUUAACUUGAUCCAACUUGAUGGCUAGGCUUGCCCCACUGCUGGUUGGUGGGCUUCAAUCAAGUUGGGCAUUGUUUUGGUAGCCCUAAACUCCUAGCAAUGAUGGAUUUGAGCUUGGUCCAAGGUACCAUAGAUAAGGUGUCCACUGGUAAGGAUGGCCCGCGAUGGGUUGACCCAGAAUGGGCUACCCCAUAUUAGAUUGAGCUUGGAUGGGCUACCAUUGCACGUAUUGGGCUUGAGUGGGCUAUUGUUGGGUGGCGGGAAUUUCCACAGCUGGAUCCUAAGUUUCUAAGGUAGCAGGCAUGACUUCUCCUGUAGGUUGGUCAUCCGAAGCAAAAGGCAAGUUCUGUAGUUGUUCGUGGUGGUAAAAGAAAUCUUCGCUUUUUUCUUUUUCCUUUUCAAAAAAUUGAUUCCCAUGCGAAGGAAUAACUCUAUUUUGCAAGUCAGAGUUCUGUGGUAGGCAAUCAAAUUGGAAGUUAAAUUAGGAGCUUGGUAGCUCUAAUACCAUGAAAGGAAGCAAAAAAGAGCAAGAAAGAUAAAGAACAACGUGACCGGAAAUCAAGCCUAUGUAAAUAUUGUACGAGAUGUACACAAUAAAUGACAAGAAUAUAUUCAAAUCAAACUUAAUCUCAAUCUAAUCCCUAAUUAAUUAAGUGCACAAUCAUAAUCAGAAAUGGAUUCUCGAGCAUAUCUUCUAAUACUUUCCUUAGUGGAGAGGAGGAGCUAAUAAUGGUCCAUGUCUAUUCAUUUGUUUCCACACUUGAUGUAUUAUUGAAAAGGAAAGAGAAUAUGCCUUUCCUGUCAUGGGAGCAAAGAGAGCAUUCCAUUUGCUCUUUUAAAAUAAAAAUAUUUGGUUGCACUAAUUAACCCUAAAACCAAGUUGACUCAAACUGUAGGAAUUCGCACCAUUCACAUGGAACAAUCUUUGGUUGCAUUCGUCUACCCUAAGAGAUGAUGAACCAAGUUGACUCAAACUAUAUGGAUUCAUACCAUUCACAUGGAAUAAUAUCUAAAUUUCAUAAAGUUCUUGUCAUGUGAUGUAUCUAUCACAUUCCGACUUCAACAAGAAUGCAAAAAUAACAUGGUUCUCUUAAAUGAUUGAAUUUGGAACAUAUUUAGCAACAACUUGUUAUAUAUAUAUAUAUAUAUAAUAAGUGAUUUGGCUAUUCCUUUUCCUCCUUUCCUCUGUUCUUACUGUCCGCUCCUUUUAUUUGGUUUUCUCUUCAAGCCCAUCUUUUUUUACCAAUCGACUUUCAUUUUCCUUUUUCUUUCUUUUUACACCAAUGGUUCCACUAUCACUUUUUAAGUGUGAACUUAUGAUAUCCCAACACCUUUGGCUUUUUUCUUCUUCUUUUUUCGUAUACUUUUUUCUUGUCUACUAAACUCUUGCGGAGCGCAGGACUCGCCCGAUGGCAUCUUCCCCCUAAAGCCCAUGUCACUAAGCACGUUACUCUCAUCCCUACACCACUAGGCACGUGGUCUAAUGGUGUGUACUUUUUUUCUUUUUUCUUUUUUUGUUCUUAAUGGUGUGUACUUGAUUAUAUACUACUUGAAUUGAGAUAUGGAAACUCGCCCCUUCUUUUGUGGUUCUCCUUCUCUGCUCUGAGUUCUGCUGUGCGCUCCUCUACAACUUACCCAAACCUCGAAGAACAGUGAAACUAUGGCUACCGAACCUCCCCUUGCCUUUCUUCAAUCACGAGUGCUUCGUAUUCUCUUAGCCAUUUCAUUACUCGUGCUCCAAACAGUCGCUCUAGCUCAAGCACAAGCAGUAUCUCUCGAAGA